GGGAAACAGGUUAAUAUUCCUGUACUUGGUGUUACUGCGAAGGGGGGACGGAGAAGGCUAUGUUGGCCGGGCGACGGUUGUCCCGGUUUAAGCGUGUAGGCUGGUUUUCCAGGCAAAUCCGGAAAAUCAAGGCUGAGGCGUGAUGACGAGGCACUACGGUGCUGAAGCAACAAAUGCCCUGCUUCCAGGAAAAGCCUCUAAGCAUCAGGUAACAUCAAAUCGUACCCCAAACCGACACAGGUGGUCAGGUAGAGAAUACCAAGGCGCUUGAGAGAACUCGGGUGAAGGAACUAGGCAAAAUGGUGCCGUAACUUCGGGAGAAGGCACGCUGAUAUGUAGGUGAAGUCCCUCGCGGAUGGAGCUGAAAUCAGUCGAAGAUACCAGCUGGCUGCAACUGUUUAUUAAAAACACAGCACUGUGCAAACACGAAAGUGGACGUAUACGGUGUGACGCCUGCCCGGUGCCGGAAGGUUAAUUGAUGGGGUUAGCGCAAGCGAAGCUCUUGAUCGAAGCCCCGGUAAACGGCGGCCGUAACUAUAACGGUCCUAAGGUAGCGAAAUUCCUUGUCGGGUAAGUUCCGACCUGCACGAAUGGCGUAAUGAUGGCCAGGCUGUCUCCACCCGAGACUCAGUGAAAUUGAACUCGCUGUGAAGAUGCAGUGUACCCGCGGCAAGACGGAAAGACCCCGUGAACCUUUACUAUAGCUUGACACUGAACAUUGAGCCUUGAUGUGUAGGAUAGGUGGGAGGCUUUGAAGUGUGGACGCCAGUCUGCAUGGAGCCGACCUUGAAAUACCACCCUUUAAUGUUUGAUGUUCUAACGUGGACCCGUAAUCCGGGUUGCGGACAGUGUCUGGUGGGUAGUUUGACUGGGGCGGUCUCCUCCUAAAGAGUAACGGAGGAGCACGAAGGUUGGCUAAUCCUGGUCGGACAUCAGGAGGUUAGUGCAAUGGCAUAAGCCAGCUUGACUGCGAGCGUGACGGCGCGAGCAGGUGCGAAAGCAGGUCAUAGUGAUCCGGUGGUUCUGAAUGGAAGGGCCAUCGCUCAACGGAUAAAAGGUACUCCGGGGAUAACAGGCUGAUACCGCCCAAGAGUUCAUAUCGACGGCGGUGUUUGGCACCUCGAUGUCGGCUCAUCACAUCCUGGGGCUGAAGUAGGUCCCAAGGGUAUGGCUGUUCGCCAUUUAAAGUGGUACGCGAGCUGGGUUUAGAACGUCGUGAGACAGUUCGGUCCCUA
RNAcentral lists this ribosomal RNA (1235 nucleotides) under Escherichia coli. Its description in RNAcentral is "partial 23S ribosomal RNA". It matches the Rfam family "Bacterial large subunit ribosomal RNA", at positions 1420 to 2640 of the family's 2925-position model. The record is from RNAcentral. Lineage: Bacteria; Pseudomonadati; Pseudomonadota; Gammaproteobacteria; Enterobacterales; Enterobacteriaceae.